RNAcentral lists this ribosomal RNA (253 nucleotides) under uncultured bacterium. RNAcentral describes it as "partial 16S ribosomal RNA". It matches the Rfam family "Bacterial small subunit ribosomal RNA", at positions 524 to 776 of the family's 1533-position model. The record is from RNAcentral.
UACGAAGGGGGCUAGCGUUGUUCGGAAUCACUGGGCGUAAAGCGCACGUAGGCGGCUGUGCCAGUCAGGGGUGAAAUCCCGGAGCUCAACUCCGGAACUGCCUCUGAUACAGCACGUCUUGAGUUCGAGAGAGGUGGGUGGAAUUCCUAGUGUAGAGGUGAAAUUCGUAGAUAUUAGGAAGAACACCGGUGGCGAAGGCGGCCCACUGGCUCGAUACUGACGCUGAGGUGCGAAAGCGUGGGGAGCAAACAGG